UUAGCUGAUCAUACAGUUAUUAUGGGUAAGUUUGAAGUGUAGUAUCUAUUCUUAUCAGCUUAACAUAUGAUAGAUUCUUCAUCGAAGGACAAGAAAUGUUGAACUGAUUUUUGGAAUCAGACAUAGUGUUUAGGGGUUUGCGCCACCUCUGUCGCGGAUUGGCCUGGUAUUGCACUACAGCUGGAAUAUACCGCAAUAA
Teleopsis dalmanni is the source of this 199-nucleotide small nuclear RNA. RefSeq annotates it as U2 spliceosomal RNA. NCBI's taxonomy places the organism in Eukaryota, Metazoa, Arthropoda, Insecta, Diptera, Diopsidae. The record is from RefSeq and is a predicted model, not a curated record. The transcript has a single exon.